RNAcentral lists this long non-coding RNA (355 nucleotides) under Rosa chinensis. Its description in RNAcentral is "sRNA RchiOBHm_Chr4g0386321". Lineage: Eukaryota; Viridiplantae; Streptophyta; Magnoliopsida; Rosales; Rosaceae. The record is from RNAcentral.
CGGCGACGAUGCCCGCCGGGUAUCAAGAUCAUGCCACAAAUGCCAACAAUUUGCUGACAUCCCGCAUGCACCGGCGGAACCACUAUCGGUCAUCAUCGCUCCAUGGAUCCACUCAACUUGGGGCCUGGAUCUGAUGGGAAAAUUUCAAACCGCCAAGGGCCAGUUCAAGUACAUCAUAGUGGCUAUCGACUACGACAGCAAGUGGAUAGAGGCGGAACCACUAACAGCAAUAACUACCGCCAAGGUAAUUCACUUCCUCUGGAAGAACAUCUACUGCCGUUACGGUGUCCCACACACGAUAAUCACCGACAAUGGCACACAGUUCAACAACAAGGAGCUCAUCUCUUUCACCGCC